CCUGCCGGACUCACUGCUAUCGGGAUGAGACUAAGCCAUGCGAGUUGUGCGCUCUAAGCUAUGGUGGAGGAGCAGCAUACGGCUCAGUAAAACAUGGUUAACUUGCCCUAGAGACGGAGAAAUCCCCGGGAAACUGGGGCUAAUCCCCGAUAGCCAAAAAUAUCUGGAACCGGUAUUUUGGCUAAAGGGCGUUGAAACCACGCUUUUCAAUGUCGCUCUAGGAUAGGACCAUGCCCGAUCAGGCAGUUGGUGAGGUAACGGCCCACCAAACCUAUAACCGGUACGGGCCGUGAGAGCGGGAGCCCGGAGAUGGACCCUGAGACAAGGGUCCAGGCCCUACGGGGCGCAGCAGGCGCGAAACCUCCGCAAUGCGCGAAAGCGUGACGGGGUUACCCCGAGUGUCGUCUGCUGAAGGCGACUUUUCUUCGGUCUAAAAAGCCGGAGGUAAUAAGGGGAGGGCAAGCCUGGUGUCAGCCGCCGCGGUAAUACCAGCUCCCCGAGUGGUGAGGACGAUUACUGGGCCUAAAGCGUCCGUAGCCGGCUCUGCAAGUUUCCCGUUAAAUCCGGCGAUCCAAUCGUCGGUCUGCGGGAAAUACUGCUGAGCUGGGAGGCGGGAGAGGCCGGCAGUGCUUCUGGGGUAGGGGUGAAAUCCUAUAAUCCUAGAAGGACUACCAGUGGCGAAGGCGGCCGGCCAGAACGUGCUCGACGGUGAGGGGCGAAAGCUGGGGGAGCGAACCGGAUUAGAUACCCGGGUAGUCCCAGCUGUAAACGAUGCGGGCUAAGUGUCGGAAUAGCUAUAAUGCCAUUCCGGUGCUGCAGGGAAGCCGUUAAGCCCGCCGCCUGGGGAGUACGGCCGCAAGGUUGAAACUUAAAGGAAUUGGCGGGGGAGCACCACAAGGGGUGAAGCUUGCGGUUCAAUUGGAGUCAACGCCGGA
RNAcentral lists this ribosomal RNA (935 nucleotides) under uncultured archaeon. RNAcentral describes it as "bacterial SSU rRNA". It matches the Rfam family "Archaeal small subunit ribosomal RNA", at positions 13 to 922 of the family's 1478-position model. The record is from RNAcentral.